AAGCUCGUAGUUGAAUUUCGGGAUCAAUUUAUUGGUCGUGCAAUAGUACGUACUGGUAUUAUUGAUUCCUACCUUCUGACGAACCAUGAUGUCAUUAAUUUGGUGUUAUGGGGAAUCAGGACUGUUACUUUGAAAAAAUUAGAGUGUUUAAAGCAGGCUCACGCUUGAAUACAUUAGCAUGGAAUAACGAAAUAGGACGUUUGAUUCUAUUUUGUUGGUUUCUAGGAUCGACGUAAUGAUUAAUAGGGAUAGUUGGG
RNAcentral lists this ribosomal RNA (257 nucleotides) under uncultured Glomeromycotina. RNAcentral's name for it is "partial 18S ribosomal RNA". It matches the Rfam family "Eukaryotic small subunit ribosomal RNA", at positions 624 to 886 of the family's 1831-position model. Lineage: Eukaryota; Fungi; Glomeromycota. The record is from RNAcentral.